This 550-nucleotide ribosomal RNA is filed under the name Bifidobacterium pseudolongum subsp. globosum. Its description in RNAcentral is "bacterial SSU rRNA". It matches the Rfam family "Bacterial small subunit ribosomal RNA", at positions 35 to 580 of the family's 1533-position model. The record is from RNAcentral. Lineage: Bacteria; Bacillati; Actinomycetota; Actinomycetes; Bifidobacteriales; Bifidobacteriaceae.
GCUGGCGGCGUGCUUAACACAUGCAAGUCGAACGGGAUCCCUGGCAGCUUGCUGCCGGGGUGAGAGUGGCGAACGGGUGAGUAAUGCGUGACCGACCUGCCCCAUGCACCGGAAUAGCUCCUGGAAACGGGUGGUAAUGCCGGAUGUUCCACAUGAGCGCAUGCGAGUGUGGGAAAGGCUUUUUGCGGCAUGGGAUGGGGUCGCGUCCUAUCAGCUUGUUGGUGGGGUAACGGCCUACCAAGGCGUUGACGGGUAGCCGGCCUGAGAGGGCGACCGGCCACAUUGGGACUGAGAUACGGCCCAGACUCCUACGGGAGGCAGCAGUGGGGAAUAUUGCACAAUGGGCGCAAGCCUGAUGCAGCGACGCCGCGUGCGGGAUGGAGGCCUUCGGGUUGUAAACCGCUUUUGUUCAAGGGCAAGGCACGGUCUUUGGCCGUGUUGAGUGGAUUGUUCGAAUAAGCACCGGCUAACUACGUGCCAGCAGCCGCGGUAAUACGUAGGGUGCAAGCGUUAUCCGGAUUUAUUGGGCCUAAAGGGCUCGUAGGCGGUU